RNAcentral lists this long non-coding RNA (1506 nucleotides) under Phoenix dactylifera (date palm). RNAcentral describes it as "long non-coding RNA (PDAC_LNC012819)". The record is from RNAcentral. Lineage: Eukaryota; Viridiplantae; Streptophyta; Magnoliopsida; Arecales; Arecaceae.
CCGGACGUGGGAGAAGUUGAGCUGGGAGCUGAUGUGUUGAUUGCUGGAUCCUUGAAGCUCGCCGAACGGCUGGAUUGGUUAGUUUGAAGUCAGCUUGAUCCUCGGUUGCAGGGGAUGGCGAGGACGUGGACGUCAGGUUGAGCUUACAGCUGAGAUGGAGAUGCUGGAGGCUUGAAACCGGUGGAUAUGGCUGCGAACAGAGGAUCUUUGGAACGAAUUUGAUAGGUUGGUUCUCAGAUUAUUGGAGUCGGAAAGUUGUUUGGAUGGAUUCGGGAGAUUGAGCUGCUGAGAACGGAAGAAACGGCUGAAGCUCGUGAUGGUUUUGUUCCGCUGAAACAGGGGAUGCAUGGGAUUUGUUCCGAAGAGGAGAUAAGGAUGGAAUGCUGGAUUUGAAUGGGAUUGGCUGCAGAUGUUUGGGAUUAAUCCGGGAGUUUGGAUGAAGCUCACGGCUGGGAAUGGAUGUAAAGUGAUCCGGAAUAGGGGAAAUGAUGAGAAGAUAAGCUUGAAUCUUAUCCGUGGGAGAUAUGGAGAUGAAGCUAAUCCAAGCUUAUCCGGGUUGGGAGGAAAUCCUUGGACUGCGGACGAUGUGGACGCUGAUGUUGUUUGGCAUGCAUCGCAGGAGAAGAUGACGCUGGAUCCGUGGUUGUGAAGUGAUCUGGAUGAUUGGAAUUAAUCCAGGUUGAAUGAAGGGUUAAUCAGUUGGAAUGAGGGAGUUGUUCGUUUUGAAGUUUUGAAUUUGAUUCAGCUGGAAAGAGCCAACGGCUCUGUUCUUUGGAUUCGGAAGAAAGAUACGGGAGCUAGAAGAUAAGGAUGAAGUAGGGGAGGAUGCAUUUGGAUGUUGGGAAUUUCAUGAGAUCAAGCCGUGGACGAUGGGAUUCUAUUCUCAUCGGAAGAGGAGUUCUGUCUUGAGGUAGGGAAUAAUGUGGAUGAGGAGUUCUGUCUUGAGGUAGGGAAUAAUGUGGAUGAAACGAGCUGGGCGAUGGAGUUGGAUCCAUGCGGACAGUUUGAGCCGUGAUAAGAUGAUAUGAGCUGGGAGCAGGGGAUUUUGUUUGGAUGCUAGGAUCUAGCGGAAGAAAAGUGAAGGCUUGAACUCCGUUUUGUUAAGCUGGGAGGUGACGUGGAAGCUAGAAUGUUGCCCAUGGCUGAGAAGAGAUGAGGCUUUGGGAUCUGUGCAACUAAGAUGGUAUGCCUUGGGAUCUAAAAGACAAAUAAUUGAAGGGAUUUUAUUAAAAUAGGAGAAUUGGAUCAUGUGGAAAAAGAGUUGGAACGAGUGGAAAGAAAUUUAGGUGAACGUGUGAAGAGUCAGGAAUUAAUGGGAAGCACUGGAUUUUGGAGAAGAGUUCUUGGAGUCGACUCUAGAGGAUGUAAAAUGAUGCAAUGUAGUUUAGGCUUUACCUAAUUAAGCGUGACUUAACCUGCAUACAUUAAGCUCAAUCCGUAAAUAAGUAAAACUCGAAUUACCUUUAAUAAUUUAUUAAAAUGCAAUGAUAAAGGUAACACAAUUUU